AUGAACGCUGGCGGCGUGCCUAAUACAUGCAAGUCGAGCGAACAGACGAGGAGCUUGCUCCUCUGACGUUAGCGGCGGACGGGUGAGUAACACGUGGAUAACCUACCUAUAAGACUGGGAUAACUUCGGGAAACCGGAGCUAAUACCGGAUAAUAUAUUGAACCGCAUGGUUCAAUAGUGAAAGACGGUUUUGCUGUCACUUAUAGAUGGAUCCGUGCCGCAUUAGCUAGUUGGUAAGGUAACGGCUUACCAAGGCAACGAUGCGUAGCCGACCUGAGAGGGUGAUCGGCCACACUGGAACUGAGACACGGUCCAGACUCCUACGGAAGACAGCAGUAGGGAAUCUUCCGCAAUGGGCGAAAGCCUGACGGAGCAACGCCGCGUGAGUGAUGAAGGUCUUCGGAUCGUAAAACUCUGUUAUUAGGGAAGAACAAAUGUGUAAGUAACUAUGCACGUCUUGACGGUACCUAAUCAGAAAGCCACGGCUAACUACGUG
Molecule: ribosomal RNA, 496 nt
Filed under: uncultured bacterium
Lineage: Bacteria
Description: partial 16S ribosomal RNA
Rfam family: Bacterial small subunit ribosomal RNA
Source: RNAcentral